GACGAACGCUGGCGGCGUGCUUAACACAUGCAAGUCGAACGGAAAGGCCCUUCGGGGUACUCGAGUGGAAAACGGGUGAGUAACACGUGGGUGAUCUGCCCUGCACUUUGGGAUAAGCCUGGGAAACUGGGUCUAAUACCGGAUAGGACCACGCGCUUCAUGGUGUGUGGUGGAAAGCUUUUGCGGUGUGGGAUGGGCCCGCGGCCUAUCAGCUUGUUGGUGGGGUAAUGGCCUACCAAGGCGACGACGGGUAGCCGGCCUGAGAGGGUGACCGGCCACACUGGGACUGAGAUACGGCCCAGACUCCUACGGGAGGCAGCAGUGGGGAAUAUUGCACAAUGGGCGCAAGCCUGAUGCAGCGACGCCGCGUGAGGGAUGACGGCCUUCGGGUUGUAAACCUCUUUCAAUAGGGACGAAGCGCAAGUGACGGUACCUAUAGAAGAAGGACCGGCCAACUACGUGCCAGCAGCCGCGGUAAUACGUAGGGUCCGAGCGUUGUCCGGAAUUACUGGGCGUAAAGAGCUCGUAGGUGGUUUGUCGCGUUGUUCGUGAAAACUCACAGCUUAACUGUGGGCGUGCGGGCGAUACGGGCAGACUAGAGUACUGCAGGGGAGACUGGAAUUCCUGGUGUAGCGGUGGAAUGCGCAGAUAUCAGGAGGAACACCGGUGGCGAAGGCGGGUCUCUGGGCAGUAACUGACGGGGAGGAGCGAAAGCGUGGGGAGCGAACAGGAUUAGAUACCCUGGUAGUCCACGCCGUAAACGGUGGGUACUAGGUGUGGGUUUCCUUCCUUGGGAUCCGUGCCGUAGCUAACGCAUUAAGUACCCCGCCUGGGGAGUACGGCCGCAAGGCUAAAACUCAAAGGAAUUGACGGGGGCCCGCACAAGCGGCGGAGCAUGUGGAUUAAUUCG
This 910-nucleotide ribosomal RNA is filed under the name uncultured bacterium. RNAcentral describes it as "bacterial SSU rRNA". It matches the Rfam family "Bacterial small subunit ribosomal RNA", at positions 28 to 953 of the family's 1533-position model. The record is from RNAcentral.